Molecule: ribosomal RNA, 492 nt
Filed under: uncultured bacterium
Lineage: Bacteria
Description: partial 16S ribosomal RNA
Rfam family: Bacterial small subunit ribosomal RNA
Source: RNAcentral
GGUGAACGCUGGCGGUAGGCCUAACACGUGCAAGUCGAACGGCAGCACAGUAAGAGCUUGCUCUUACGGGUGGCGAGUGGCGGACGGGUGAGGAAUACAUCGGAAUCUACUUUUUCGUGGGGGAUAACGUAGGGAAACUUACGCUAAUACCGCAUACGACCUACGGGUGAAAGCAGGGGAUCUUCGGACCUUGCGCGAUUGAAUGAGCCGAUGUCGGAUUAGCUAGUUGGCGGGGUAAAGGCCCACCAAGGCGACGAUCCGUAGCUGGUCUGAGAGGAUGAUCAGCCACACUGGAACUGAGACACGGUCCAGACUCCUACGGGAGGCAGCAGUGGGGAAUAUUGGACAAUGGGCGCAAGCCUGAUCCAGCCAUACCGCGUGGGUGAAGAAGGCCUUCGGGUUGUAAAGCCCUUUUGUUGGGAAAGAAAAGCAGCAGGUUAAUACCCCGCUGUUCUGACGGUACCCAAAGAAUAAGCACCGGCUAACUUCGUG